This 791-nucleotide ribosomal RNA is filed under the name Staphylococcus aureus. RNAcentral describes it as "partial 23S ribosomal RNA". It matches the Rfam family "Bacterial large subunit ribosomal RNA", at positions 1601 to 2393 of the family's 2925-position model. The record is from RNAcentral. RNAcentral also lists the same sequence under 1 other name. Lineage: Bacteria; Bacillati; Bacillota; Bacilli; Caryophanales; Staphylococcaceae.
CACACUGCCGAGAAAAGCCUCUAGAUAGAAAAUAGGUGCCCGUACCGCAAACCGACACAGGUAGUCAAGAUGAGAAUUCUAAGGUGAGCGAGCGAACUCUCGUUAAGGAACUCGGCAAAAUGACCCCGUAACUUCGGGAGAAGGGGUGCUCUUUAGGGUUAACGCCCAGAAGAGCCGCAGUGAAUAGGCCCAAGCGACUGUUUAUCAAAAACACAGGUCUCUGCUAAACCGUAAGGUGAUGUAUAGGGGCUGACGCCUGCCCGGUGCUGGAAGGUUAAGAGGAGUGGUUAGCUUCUGCGAAGCUACGAAUCGAAGCCCCAGUAAACGGCGGCCGUAACUAUAACGGUCCUAAGGUAGCGAAAUUCCUUGUCGGGUAAGUUCCGACCCGCACGAAAGGCGUAACGAUUUGGGCACUGUCUCAACGAGAGACUCGGUGAAAUCAUAGUACCUGUGAAGAUGCAGGUUACCCGCGACAGGACGGAAAGACCCCGUGGAGCUUUACUGUAGCCUGAUAUUGAAAUUCGGCACAGCUUGUACAGGAUAGGUAGGAGCCUUUGAAACGUGAGCGCUAGCUUACGUGGAGGCGCUGGUGGGAUACUACCCUAGCUGUGUUGGCUUUCUAACCCGCACCACUUAUCGUGGUGGGAGACAGUGUCAGGCGGGCAGUUUGACUGGGGCGGUCGCCUCCUAAAAGGUAACGGAGGCGCUCAAAGGUUCCCUCAGAAUGGUUGGAAAUCAUUCAUAGAGUGUAAAGGCAUAAGGGAGCUUGACUGCGAGACCUACAAGUCGAG